CUGGAGUGUCCUCCUGACAGCAACUGGCCUUUCCCAGAGAGAGUGAUCCAACAGAGAGAGCAAGUAGGAUAUAGCUGCGCCUUUCAUGACAGCCUCAGAAGCCACAAAUCACCGUGUCUGCUAUGUUUUAUUCAUCAGAAGUGAGUCGCUGAGUCCAACCAUAUUCACAGGGAGGCAAAGACCUCAGAUGGACAGAAUUCAACUCAUCACAUUUCUUGGUUCUUGACACGCUCUCCUCGUUAGUCCAUCACAUAUUGCACGGAUUCAUUCAUAUCGCUGCAUGUAGGCUGCUUUGACCUGCUGUAGAAUAUCUCAUUGUGUGGAUGCACAUGUGGAUCACUGAGUAUGUCAGAGCUGGCAAGAUACGUCAGAAGAGAAAGGAGAAACUCUUAACUAAAUAGAGUUGGAAAUAAAAUAAUUGUCUGUAUGGAAUAAGAUCAAAGGUCCCACAUGUUAAAGUCAACCCCAGAUGAAUUAAAGUCUUACAUGUCAAAAAAAAUUGAAACUUUUAGAAGAAAAUUAAGGUGGAUAUAUUUUAGACCUUAAGGUAGAGAAAGAUUUCUUAAAGAAGACACUUACAGGAUUGAUUACAAACAAAAAGACUGGUACAUUUGAAUGUAUUAUGUUAAGAACUUUUCCACCAAAAGAAAGCCUCGAUUUCCUCAUUUUUAAGAUGAGGAUAAUAAUCCCUACCUUAUAGAAUUCUAAUAAGAUGAAAUGAAGCAACAUAUACAAAAUACUUAGCACAGAUCCUAACACCUACAAAAUAAUAAAUGGUAACGAUUAUUAUUCUUCUCAAACAACAAUCCUAUUAUUUAUCAAAUAAUACUGAGUAAUAUGACAAGACAUAUUUAAACCACACAAGCCAUAUGCAGACAAGUGUUUAAUAUCAUAGUGAUAGUUUCAAGAGAGAGAUAAUAAUUUAUUCUACAUUUAUCAGAGGUCUAUAGCCCAGUAGUCAAUAAAUACUUAUCUAUAGUCAAUAAGUACUAUCAAGCAUCCAUGCCAGGAACCAUGCUAGGGGCUGAUUAAUUUACAUCAAUCACCAUGACUUUUUUCCCACAAACUAACACACACACAAUCUUCAUAGAUUUUUCUGUGAUCACAGCAAGGAAAAGACCUACGCAUGUUUGGAUCAUCUGUGUACAGUCCUACAGAAGAACUUUGACACUAUCAGAGACAGAAAUCUCAGAAUAGUCCAACUCUCACUUAUUUGUGCUAAUGAAAGAGUAAAGUAAAAGAGACAAUUAAAAUGGGAAAUGUGUUUUGUUUUGUUUUGGUGUUUUGUUUUACAAGUAUGCAAAAACCUCAAAUCAACCUGACCCAACAAUAAGGAAGCAAGUCAGAAAAAGGCAGUCUUCCAGAGCUGUUUGUUCAGCAGCUCAGUAAUGCCAUGAAGGUUUGCUUCCUUUCUCUGCUUUGUGUUUCUGGAGAGAGUCCGCAUACAUUUCAAUAUGGCUGACAGCAGUUCUGGAAUGUAUAAAGCCUUGCAUAAAGAAAAUGACAGUUCACUAUGAAAAUCUGAUUCGGAUGAUGUUGAAAAUAGAUUUAGUGUCUGCUCUGCCUCUCUGUUUUCUAGGACUUCACCACCUCACAGACUUUGUACACUCAUGGUUCACAACUUCCUCACUGUGUUUUCUUUAACGAGUAGAAGAUAAAUAAGCUUUAAGAAAUAGUAAAUUAUAUCAAAAUAGACUUUAUCAUAUAAUUUGCCUAAUUAUGUACCUUCAGUAAGUGUUUAUUGAACUCUGGGGUGUCAACAAUUUUUUAUUCAGCUCUCAUAAGUAAUAUUUGCUUAGAAAUCUACCCAUAAAUAGGAUAACAACUUUCAUAAAACAAGAAUUUAUACCUAGCUAACAUGAAAAAGCUAAACAUCCCUUGAAGUACAAUUCUCCUGAAAAUCAUCCCAAUAUGGUUUAUUGAGGCUGAUGGAUUUGGACACCAGCUCUUAAGAAAAAAGAUAAAGAGGAAAGCUACUGCCUGCCACAACAUAUUCUUUUUCCCAAGAGCUGGUAAGUUUCUUCCAUAUGUGGAAUCCAAUAACGUUCGGAACAUUCUUUUCUCUUUCUGGUAAUGUGAUAUACCCAACGUGGGCCUAUGAUACAAGGAAGGAGAGUAGAUCAGGAGUCAAAAACCACAGGUCCUAGUUCUGGUUCUAUCAUUUCUUUGCUGUGAAAGUCUGGACCAGUGACUUCAUAGCUCUGAGUUUCUGUUGUGUCAUUCUUCAAGUCAGGUCAUCAUUUGCCUUCCCUACUUCACAGGUAGUAUACAGUAAUCUUUUCAAAAGCCCUUUAGAGGACAUAACACAACCUUAUGUUUAUUUUCUGCUAGAGCAUGACUCCCUUGAGGGCUUGGAGCAUGUCUUAAUCAAAUUUGUAUAUUCCACCAUUCCUACCCCAGACCUAUUAUUAGGUGCUCAAUAAAUGUUGAUUUUAAAUGACAGCUGUCAUGAAAUAAAUGAAAACAGAAGCCAACAGUGACGGUUUGAGCUGCCUGCUGGCUGGCAUGUGACACUUAACAUCUAAAGAGUGAUAGUGGCAGCUAAAGUGCGGAAGGAAUCCACUUUAUGAAACUAUCUGAGCAGUGAAGCACUGGAAAUCACAGAGUCUCCUUUUGGCUAUUUUACAUUUAGAUAUGAAAGCUUGUCAGGCUGGGCUGAGAAUAGACAAUGAGAAACUAACACAUUUCAACAGGUUUUGAAUAGUUUCCCAGUGAAGAAUUUUCCUGGCCUCUCUCCACCCUGGUUUUUAUCCCUCUUCUUGGGAGUUAUUUUUCGCAAAUGUACCCCAUGAUUGGCAAAUUUCAGAAGAAUAACUGGGGUUGGCUCAGUUCAGCUCCUCCCCGUCCUUCUCCUGAGUCUGCUUCCAAAGGCAAUCUGCAAGGGAGGAAUAAAGCAACUCAGGGAAGGGAAAAAGAGAUGUGAAGAAGGAAAGAAAUUGGAAGACCCAAAACAACAUGAUGGUUAGUAGAGCUAAUGAAAAUGAGGAAGCUCCAAUAAUAUCUGGUUUUUUUUCUCUGACUUUGUGAAAACCAUUUGUUAUUAUGAUACGACAAUGUAAUCAAUGGUACUCAGUAAAGUCAGUACCCCAAAAUUCGGCCAGGUGUCAUGGCUUUUUGUGUAUGGUUGUCCUGGGAAUUAAAGGAGAAGGAAGGGGCUGUGCCCCUGUAGGGGAGAUGAUGUGCAGAAACGGACGGUAUACACAGGAGGAAAGACAAUGAGAAAAGAUAAAGAAAGAAUUCACUAAAAGCAGGGACUUGGAGCUAGAGA
This 3268-nucleotide long non-coding RNA is filed under the name Homo sapiens (human). Its description in RNAcentral is "HSALNT0326976". Lineage: Eukaryota; Metazoa; Chordata; Mammalia; Primates; Hominidae. The record is from RNAcentral.